This 393-nucleotide long non-coding RNA is filed under the name Danio rerio (zebrafish). Its description in RNAcentral is "lncRNA (ENSDARG00000117292.1)". Lineage: Eukaryota; Metazoa; Chordata; Actinopteri; Cypriniformes; Danionidae. The record is from RNAcentral.
AUUAAACAUGACACCAAGAGGAAAUGUUACUUCCUGUUAUUUAAACUUCACCUGACCUUUUCUAAUACUCAAGCAAGUAGUCCUUUAAGACAGGUUAUUAUAUUUGGUCAAAGGAGGUCAUUUUCCCCACAGCGGGAUCCAGGAUUUACGUCUGAACUGAUCUGCGAUGAAACAGAAAAUGGUGGAAUUUAUUAUGAAAUUAGUCUGCUCAGUUUCUAAAAACAGCAGCCUGGUGUUUUAUCGCAUCAAGUGGCUCUCAGGAUGUCAAACAUGAGUCUUACUGGACAUGAACCUCUGAGGUGUGCAGCAGUUGCGCUGGAGGAGAGUGUGUUUAGUAGGUGUGAUGUUUGGUCUCCAGGGCUGUGUUUAGCAGUGGUCUACAUUAGCCUGGAG